UACGUAGGGUGCAAGCGUUGUCCGGAAUUAUUGGGCGUAAAGAGCUCGUAGGCGGUUUGUCACGUCGGAUGUGAAACCCUGAGGCUCAACCUCAGGCCUGCAUUCGAUACGGGCAGACUAGAAUUCGGCAGGGGAGACUGGAAUUCCUGGUGUAGCGGUGAAAUGCGUAGAUAUCGUAAGGAAGACCAGUGGCGAAGGCGGGUCUCUGGACAGUUCCUGACGCUGAGGCACGAAGGUCAGGGGAGCAAACGGG
This 253-nucleotide ribosomal RNA is filed under the name uncultured bacterium. Its description in RNAcentral is "partial 16S ribosomal RNA". It matches the Rfam family "Bacterial small subunit ribosomal RNA", at positions 524 to 776 of the family's 1533-position model. The record is from RNAcentral.